UGGGGAAUAUUGGACAAUGGGGGCAACCCUGAUCCAGCGAUGCCGCGUGUGUGAAGAAGGCCUGCGGGUUGUAAAGCACUUUAGUUGGGGAGGAAAGGUAUGUACUGCAUAAGUGCAUGCUGUGACGUUACCCAAAGAAUAAGCACCGGCAAACUCUGUGCCAGCAGCCGCGGUAAUACAGAGGGUGCAAGCGUUAUUCGGAUUUACUGGGCGUACAGGGAGCGUAGGCGGUUCGGUAAGCCCUUUGUGAAAUCUCCAGGCUUAACCUGGAACAGUCGGAGGGGACUGCCGGGCUAGAGGACGGGAGAGGAGCGCGGAAUUCCCGGUGUAGCGGUGAAAUGCGUAGAGAUCGGGAGGAAGGCCGGUGGCGAAGGCGGCGCUCUGGAACGUUUCUGACGCUGAGGCUCGAAAGCGUGGGGAGCAAACAGGAUUAGAUACCCCAGUAGUCCCUGAGCGGGCUGGCAAGGCGCAU
Molecule: ribosomal RNA, 472 nt
Filed under: uncultured bacterium
Lineage: Bacteria
Description: bacterial SSU rRNA
Rfam family: Bacterial small subunit ribosomal RNA
Source: RNAcentral